UCAAGGCAUGGGAUUUAUUUUGAAAAGCACAUGACGGGAUUUUAAAAGCCCAUAUCUUGAUUAAUAGAUCUGGGCCGUCUAUCUUAGAAUUGUAUCAAACCAAUACACACCAUAUAGUUUCUUGGAUGGCAGAAAACCUAAUUUUCAUUCCACAUCCCAACAUCAAGUGAAAGUUUUCUUUGUUCGACUCUUUGACUGGCGCGCUCUCUCUCAAUAUUUGGCAACACGAAGGAUGGGAAUGUAAGUCUCUUCUUCUUCUACAUACAGAAUGUGUCUAGAAUCUUGUAGAUGAGGAAGAUUAAUGGGAAGAAUGGGAAGAUGGAGAUUCAAAGGAUGGAGAAGAGGAAGUCAUUGAUGGAUAUAAAACAAAUGAUGAUGAAGACAGAGCAAUUGGUGAUAAUGAUGACUAUCAGGCGUGAAUGAUUACAUAUUUUGAUUGCUAGUUUGCUACUAUGCGCUUUAUUAUUUUCAAAACCAAACCUUAGACAUUAGUUUAUGUUGGAAUAUAGACGUUAUGUUUUGCUAGGCUAAGCGAGCCAAUUUUAGGUCUAAUUACAAUGAACGGGGGAGAGGGGACAACAGAGAGUGUGAACCCCGGAGGGCACUUCAUCACCCUACAAUCUUCGAUAUUUUAUGAGUUGGAACUAUGAUAUUUAGUGAUUGUCAUUUUAAAUAUCAUAUUUCAUGAUACAUGGUGAUUUAGAACUUGAUGAAGUAUGAGAAAUUUUGUCUAUAUUACCAUUCCACUAAUUUUCUCUAACUUGUGCUUCACUUCAAUGAGACGCGUGUUUGGAUAUGAUCAUUUCAGUUAAGUGAAACACCGCCACCGCCACCUCUCACCACCCCUAGCCUCACAACUAAGUGAAACAC
RNAcentral lists this long non-coding RNA (870 nucleotides) under Actinidia chinensis (golden kiwifruit). Its description in RNAcentral is "long non-coding RNA (ACHI_LNC006305)". The record is from RNAcentral. Lineage: Eukaryota; Viridiplantae; Streptophyta; Magnoliopsida; Ericales; Actinidiaceae.